ACAACCGAGGUGCAAAGGCUGUCGCUGACCCUCAAAGGUUGUGCACGCCCGAGCGCUCUCACACAAUCCAUCUCACCUUUGUGCAUCACCGCGUGGGUCCCCUUUGCGGGAGGGCUCGCGUUUUCACAUAAUAACUCGAUACAGUGUAGAAUGUUUCUUUUGCGGUCACACGCAAUCAAUACAACUUUCAACAACGGAUCUCUUGGCUCUCGCAUCGAUGAAGAACGCAGCGAAAUGCGAUACGUAAUGUGAAUUGCAGAAUUCAGUGAAUCAUCGAAUCCUUGAACGCACCUUGCGCCCCUUGGCAUUCCGAGGGGCACACCCGUUUGAGUGUCGUGAAUUCUUCAAAACCCUUUUUUCUUCGAACCAUCGUGGUCGGGAAAAGGAUUUUUGGACUUGGAGGUUUAAUGCUCGCCCUUUCUUUUGAAAGCGAGCUCCUCUCAAAUGAAUUAGUGGGGUCCGCUUUUGCUGAUCCUUGACGUGAUAAAAUGUUUCUACGUUCUGGGUUUAGCACUGUCGCUUGGAUGCCUGCUCCUAACCCGUCUCAUUGACAAUGAUGGUGCUCUGGUCACUGCCGUCUACAUCGGCGGGAGGCUGGACCCACAAAAGAAAACCUUGA
Molecule: ribosomal RNA, 619 nt
Filed under: uncultured Russula
Lineage: Eukaryota; Fungi; Basidiomycota; Agaricomycetes; Russulales; Russulaceae
Description: eukaryotic LSU rRNA
Rfam family: 5.8S ribosomal RNA (bases 183-336)
Source: RNAcentral